CAGUCGCCACGGUAAUACGGAGGGUGCGAGCGUUAAUCGGAAUAACUGGGCGUAAAGGGCACGCAGGCGGUUAUUUAAGUGAGGUGUGAAAGCCCCGGGCUUAACCUGGGAAUUGCAUUUCAGACUGGGUAACUAGAGUACUUUAGGGAGGGGUAGAAUUCCACGUGUAGCGGUGAAAUGCGUAGAGAUGUGGAGGAAUACCGAAGGCGAAGGCAGCCCCUUGGGAAUGUACUGACGCUCAUGUGCGAAAGCGUGGGGAGCAAACAGGAUUAGAUACCCCGGUAGUCCCUGUCUCUUAUAC
RNAcentral lists this ribosomal RNA (301 nucleotides) under uncultured bacterium. Its description in RNAcentral is "partial 16S ribosomal RNA". It matches the Rfam family "Bacterial small subunit ribosomal RNA", at positions 509 to 807 of the family's 1533-position model. The record is from RNAcentral.